AGAACGAACGCUGGCGGCAGGCUUAACACAUGCAAGUCGAGCGCCCCGCAAGGGGAGCGGCAGACGGGUGAGUAACGCGUGGGAACAUACCCUCCGGUUCGGAAUAGCUCAGGGAAACUUGGAUUAAUACCGGAUACGGCCUAGCGGCGAAAGAUUCAUCGCCGGAGGAUUGGCCCGCGUUCGAUUAGCUAGUUGGUGAGGUAACGGCUCACCAAGGCGACGAUCGAUAGCUGGUCUGAGAGGAUGAUCAGCCACAUUGGGACUGAGACACGGCCCAAACUCCUACGGGAGGCAGCAGUGGGGAAUAUGGACAAUGGGCGCAAGCCUGAUCCAGCCAUGCCGCGUGAGUGAUGACGGCCUUAGGGUUGUAAAGCUCUUUCGCUAGGGACGAUAAUGACGGUACCUAGACAAGAAGCCCGGCUAACUCGUGCCAGCAGCCGC
RNAcentral lists this ribosomal RNA (441 nucleotides) under uncultured bacterium. RNAcentral's name for it is "SSU rRNA". It matches the Rfam family "Bacterial small subunit ribosomal RNA", at positions 26 to 518 of the family's 1533-position model. The record is from RNAcentral.